UUCCUUUUGGCCAAAAGCAAGACACUUGGCUGAGUCCAAAGUCAUGGUUCAGGGAAGCGCUUUCCACCUGUAUGAGGUCAAAGCAAAACUCACAUGGCCAACCCAGCAUCAGUGGAAGAGCCUUCGGGACCUACUGGAGGCUGAUCUUGUAUGGAUGUCACUUCCACUUGAAGAAACGUGCUUCCAUACUGUUCCAUCAUUCUGUGCAUUCUGUGAGAUAUCAAGUCAUCUUGAUAUGCCAAAUAUACCAUUUCACAGUCAUGUGAUCAUGUGGUGUCCCACGAUCAGGAAAGAAGCAAUUUCUGGACUCCCAUGGGACACAUGCUGAGGGUGCUGAAGAAUUGAUUGCAUAUGAUAAAUUCAUUCCAGUGUUCCUAUCUCCUAAGCCUUUGGAUUCCUUCCUCACCAUUGUGUCCAGGAAGUUCUAAUAUCUCAACUUCAUUUAGUGAAGGAUAACUCUGAGUCUUGAUUUCAAUCAACCAAACAAUGAAGCUGUUAGAGUCAUUCUUGGCAGUUUGAGCCACAUAUUAAAUCCCAAAACUCUGGUGUUUGCAAGGAUAUCAAUCAGUUUGACCUUUUUCACUGUUAGUUUCCUUAGUCCCUGGUCUUAUUUGCUUAGAAUACAUUCAUCACACAUAG
Molecule: long non-coding RNA, 639 nt
Filed under: Equus caballus (horse)
Lineage: Eukaryota; Metazoa; Chordata; Mammalia; Perissodactyla; Equidae
Description: lncRNA (ENSECAG00000053621.1)
Source: RNAcentral